Zea mays is the source of this 884-nucleotide long non-coding RNA. RefSeq lists it as uncharacterized. Lineage: Eukaryota; Viridiplantae; Streptophyta; Magnoliopsida; Poales; Poaceae. The record is from RefSeq and is a predicted model, not a curated record. The transcript is spliced from 3 exons.
UCAGACACGUUUGUUCUCUGGAAACCACCGUAGCUCAUCCACUCAGCCAUACGCAGCAUGCCCAGGAUGCAAAGCUUAUCAGCCACGUCCCAACCAAACUCCUACACGCCAUCUUCUUCCUAGGCCGACGGCCUUAGCCUCCACGCCGGCUGUCCUUGCUCUGGUUUCUCCCCGGCUCCAGCUCGCCAGCCGCGCCCUCCCUGCUCGCCCAGCCAUCUCCUCGCCUCCAUGGCCGCUGCACCAGCCGAGUCCCUCCCCAUGUCAGCUGCAAGCACGCCGUGCUUCCUUCCCAUGGCCGUCUGCAGCUUCUCCCAUGGUGAGCUCCCUCCAGUGCCCUAGGUUUCCAUGGCCGCCCCUCCCUCAUCUUCCUCCCCAAGCUGAGCUCGCCCAGCCCCUCUCUGCUCCCUGGUUUCUCCCCACGCCAGCAGCCAUGGCACCUCCUUCCCCUGCUCGCCCUCCCUCUGUGCCCAGCCUCCUCUCUGUUCUUCCGUGGAGCAGUAGCCCUCCUCUAAUUCUGCAGCAGCAGCUUCCCCUUUUUCUUUUGUUCUCCAUGAAUGAAAGCCCAAGCGCCAGCCCCCUCCCUUUUGUCAAGUGAGAGUUCUAGGGAAAAUCAAUGGAGAAGAAACCGUGUUUCAGUUCGACGCGCUCUAGGUGUUUGAUGGAAUGGAUGAACCGAAGAUCCUUGUUGCUCUUGCGAAAUCUGAGUCUAUUUAGUGUUGGUACGCUAGCUGAAAAUCGUGCGAAGCGAAGGGUGUGGAUCAAAACAACCCACAAGACGAUGUCGGCCAAUGAGCCUGAAGAUGGAUGGACUAAGCGGAUGUCAAAACGAAAGUUGAUCGUCAAGUGGCCUUCAUCUAACAACACUAACAUAGUGUUUAUUUCAG